RNAcentral lists this unclassified non-coding RNA (208 nucleotides) under soil metagenome. RNAcentral describes it as "partial contains 5.8S ribosomal RNA, internal transcribed spacer 2, and large subunit ribosomal RNA". The record is from RNAcentral.
AACUGAUACUACCUGCGGGAACCUGCGGAGGGAUCAUUACCGAGUUUACAACUCCCAAACCCCUGUGAACAUACCACUUGUUGCCUCGGCGGAUCAGCCCGCUCCCGGUAAAACGGGACGGCCCGCCAGAGGACCCCUAAACUCUGUUUCUAUAUGUAACUUCUGAGUAAAACCAUAAAUAAAUCAAAACUUUUAGCAACGGAUCUCU